UUUGAGCAAGGUACGGAGGACUUUAACAGAAGAGGAUGAAGAGAACAAGAAUAUUUAGGUGGGGACAUGAUUCAAAGAUACUCAGGUGGUAAAAUGAAGAAUUGUUUAUGCUCCAGGAUGUGGUUCACUGAGGCUACUUGGUUGGAGGGGAUGAGGCAGCACGUAAUAGGAAGGGAUCAUGAAAGCAUUUAAAAUAUGCUUUGAUUGGAAUCCAAACUUCACGCCGGAUUCUGUUAAAGAGUGCUCAGCCCAUCCAUGUGAUUAUUGAUAUAUGCUUCACUCGCUGGAUUGGAAAUUCCACAAGGUCAGAAAUGAUGUCUGCUUUAUUUACAUAGUCUGCUAGCUUCUGGCCCAGCAGCCAACACCUGCAGCAAACAGGUGUUCUGGAAACAUUUCUCAAAUGAAAGCAAAAAUUCCCCAGUUCACAUAACUUUUCCCAAUAAGAGCAAUAUCAGCAAAAGGAAGUAAAAAUGUUUAUCUGUGUUUACUUUUUGUUCUCCCUCAGGGAUUAUUGUUUUAUUUACACAAAAGCAAAGAAUCCGCUAUGGAAACUACAGUUUUAGCUCAUGCUCUCAUUUAGUGGUGAAUAGAUUGAAUAGUAACCAGUUCAGCCAGGCAGCAAUUUCCUCCUUUGGUGAAUUAACCAUCCAAUCCCUUCUAGGCUGCUCCCUGCCUGGGGUAAGGGGUACAAUACAGCACACAGGGACCUUUAGUGACUAACAUCCACUGAUGGAGAGGGCUCUGCUGCUUCAUUCUUCCCAUUGCCUCUGUCUCACAGGCUCGGGAGUGUUCAGAAGACCACAAAGCAUUUCCAGGGGCCAGGGAGUGAACUUGGAUGGUGUCCUACAGAUUUCAUCGAAUUAACCUUUUAAGGUUAAUUUAUGUGCCAAGACUCAAAAGAGUAGCUUCCCUGGUAGGUAUCACCUCAUUGGUUCUUAACCUUUUUAAUUUAACCACUUACUCUUUUGAAAAUAUGAUGAAAGCUAUAUGCACUCUCCUCACCCUUAAACCCACCUAAGCCUAAAUGUAUAGAGUUGUGCAUCAAGUUUCAGGAAUUUAUGAGGUCUGUUAGAUACUCUGGAGGGGUAAAAUCAGUAAAGGGUAUAUUGGAGGUAGAACACUGGAGAACAACGAGUGGAUCCUGAGUUUACUGCCUUCAAGUUAACCGAAAGAAAAAUGAUGUUUUUCUGAAUGCUGCCUGUUGUCCCUGCAUUUGUCCAGCACAGAAACGUCAAAGAAAAGUUCCUGACAUUCUCAAAAAGAGAUGGAUAAGGAAAAGAAUGAGCAGGAGGGAGAGAAUCUUCAUAUUCAGUGAGGUCAAGAUAUGAAUGACCUUUAGAGUUCUUAUUUUCCACAAGAGUAAAACCCCAAUCCAUCCAAAAUGAUGAAAAGUGAGUUCUGCUUUCAACUGGCACCGUCUCCUUAGCUAAUUUGCUGAAAGGUAGUGUGGGUGGGAAAAGGCAGCUGAGAGAGAGGGUUACGUUUCGUCCUUUCAUAAUUCCCUUCGGCUCACCAGGUAAAUGUAUACUUCAAGAAAAAUCUAUGUAAUGUUUUCACAUAAAAAGAAAACACAGUUGGAAAGUAAUUCAGAUUGUGUAUGGAUUUAGAGAUGUGGACCAGUAUUUCAGAGUUCCCCAAAUUUAUGUAAAAUAAGGCUAUAAAACUUGUUUAUCUAUCUCUCCUUCAACUGAUACCCUGUGCUAUCCGACUUCCAAAUUUGAGGCCCUUUUGUCUCUCGGUAGUUUAUUCUGCCAUCUAGUAUAAUUUACUAUUAACAUCUAGAAGUGUGCUUCUCCUUGACUAUAUUGUGUUAUGAAUCAAAAUGAAAUCCCUCCUUGUGGUCGCUAAACCAGGAAGGAGGAAAUCACCACCCAUGGAAUCUAGCAGAGUUUUGAAACAAAGGAAAAGUUGUGGACUUCAAGCCAGUUGGAUGAACUUUUCAUGCACUUCCCUUUCCCUAACAGCGGGGCAGGGAUGCGGGGGGUGGGGAGGGGUGGGAAAUACCACUAGCAUCACCUCCUACAAAGUUGAGGAUUACAGCAAAAUAGGCAGCCGAGAGGAGCAAUAGAUAAGAAAUAACACACCCAGCCAGAAAAGCAGGACUUUGAAAAAACACAUGAAAGAGACCCAAAGAGAAACGAAGCAGGUAUUGGAGAAGCAAGGUUGUGGAGGAGAAUUAAAACGGCACAUUUCUCUUCUGAGCUUGAUUUAGACUUUGGCAGUGCAUGCAGAGAGCCCUCACUCAAGAAUUAUUGUGCUAACAGGACUUUGUUACUUGGCACAUUGUAGGCUUUAUGUUUUGCUAAUAGUCACAACCACCCUAUAUUUUUAUCUUUUAUUCUCAUUUAACUGAUGAGGAAACCGGCUCAGAGAGAGUUAAGCACCUUGCAGAGGGUCACCGCAAGUAGGAGAACAGAAUUAGGAUUUGAACCUAAACAAGAUGUCCAGAGACUCUGUGCCACGCCAAGGAAGUUUCUCUCAUGUGCCCAUAGGUCUCAGACUUGGUUUUCAGCACAUUUUCCUUCUUUCUCCUACACUCUCCUGCCUGAGAGGAUUUGGAAGACUGGAGAAGAGGAACUGGAGUCCAUGAGGGGAAAGGGCACCAUAACCCAACAGAAGAACAAGGCUCACCUCCUGUCCAGGCCUCCGGUUUUCAUUUGUACAACGAAGGAAUUUGCUUGUACGGUUCCUACUGCCUGCUGAUUUAGUCUAAGAAGCACGGCAUAUGUAUAACAGAUGGAGAACUUUCCCUGGGAAAUUUGACCACUUGAGUCAGAGGAGAAAAUGCGCCCAAACCCGAAAUUCCACAAAACUUGGAGAAUAUUUGCACUUGCCCUUGAAUGUAGUUAACUCAAAAGUGUCCCUUGCAAGGUUCUCAUCAACUGAGCGAAGUGCCUUCAUUUUGCUGGGUUUAGUGAAGAAUGAGUCUAGAAAGAGGCCAUGGGGAUAGUGUGUUUUACAACCAGACCCCUAUCCCCCCAUCUUCCAAGGAUGAGCGGAAAUUGUUCCUUUCUGUCCUCUCUCCUGAUGCCGUUUUCUCUCACCUGGUUUCCUCAUGACUCUUAGCUAAGUCCCAGCUAGUGACUCUUUAUUGUGACACAGGUAACACAGUUGGAGUUGGUGAAAAUUUUUGAAAGAACUAAAGCCCAUCUGAUUUGUUGAAAAACAAAAAUAUCCAACAAUGAGGUGAAGAGACCUCAUUUCCCCAUUAUUCAUCCAUUUAAUAUUUCCCGAGUACCUUCUGUGUUUCAAACAUUUUUCUAGUUGUUUGGGAAAUGUUAGUGAAUAAUGUGGAUCGAAAUGGCUACCCUUGCUUUAGGUGUGUAAAUGUUAUGGGAAGAGUGGAUCAGGGUGUGAGGGGCGAGCAGAUUACAGCACUGGGAAGUAUAGGGAAGCCUCCUUGGGAAGUUGAGAUUGGGCUAGGAAUUGAAGGAUCUAGGAAUUGGCUAAGUGGCUAUGUGGGAGAAUAAUCUAGGCAAAGGGACAGCUAGAAGUGACGGUUUGAGUUGGGAGCUUGGUCAUACACUUGAGGAACAGUAAGGAAGCCAGCAUGGCUGGUGCAAGGAGAGAAAAUAAUGGGCGGGAAAGGAAGACAAAGAGAAAGGGGCCAGAUUGGACCUUUGUAGGUUCUUAUAAGGAUUUCAGCUUUUAUUCUGCAUGGAGAGCCAUUGGAGGGUCUGAGCAAAUCAGUAACACCACCUGACACUCCAGCUGCUGGGUACAGGUAGGGUGGCAUUGGGGCAAGAGUUUGUAGGGAGAGCAAAGGAAAUCAAGACAACCAGUUAGAGUUUAUUGCGGAAAGUCGGGGGAGAGUGAUAAUGGCUUACACCAGGCCAGAGUGGUAACAGCAAGUGGUGGUAACCAGGAGUCAGAUUCCGGAUAAUUCAAACAGCACAAAAUCCUGGGAGAUUGGGGAUGAGAUGUGAGGAAGAGAAAAACCAUUGAUCAAGAAGACAUUAAAUGUAAGCUACUAGAAGGAUGGAGUCUCCAUCAACUUAGACACUUGAGAAAGUAUGUAAACUAAUGUGGAAGGAUUAUUUGGGUUUGGGGAAAUGUUUGCUUAAUGGAAGUCUUCCAAAUGCAUCCUGAGUGGAGCUCCUCAAUUACACCCAUAGUUGCAUUAAGUGGUGGCCAUGACUGGUAGAGCAAAGGAGACUGAGGCAGAAAGGAGGUGAAUGAGGAGUGAGGGAUAGAGUAACAUUUAUUGUGUUCCAGUCACUGUAUGAGGCCUUUUUUUUUUUUUUUUUUUUGGUCUUUUUAAGGCCACACCUGUGGCAUAUGGAAGUUCCCAGGCUAGGGGCCAAAUCGGAGCUACAGCUGCCAGCCUACACCACAGCUCAUGGCAACACUGGAUCCCUAACCCACUGAACAGGGCCAGGGAUCAAACCCACAUCUUCAUGGGUACUAGUCAGAUUCGUUACCACUGAGCCGUGAUGGGAACUCCUGGCCUCUUUUUUUACAAGAAAAAUUAUUUAGGUUUAAAGUGUACAAUGUGAGUAUGAAAUAAUGCCAUUUGCAGCAACAUGGAUGAACAUAGAAGUCAUCUCACUAAGUGAAAUAAGACAGAGUAAGACAAAUACUCUUAGAUAUAUGAGACACUAAUAUGUCCAGUCUAAUAAUGAUGACACAGUAGAACUUGCAAAACAAAAACAGACUCAAAGGUUUUGAAACCAAACUCAUGUUUACCAAAGAGGAAAUGAGGGGAGGGGAAGGGUAAUUUAGGGGCUUGGGAUUGAUGUAUAUACAUUGCUAUAUAAGAAAUAAAUGGGUAACUAGGACCUACUCUAUAGCACAGGGAAACUUACUCAAUGCUGUAUAAUAACUUAUAUGGGAAAAGAAUCUGAAAAGGAAUGGAAGGAAUGGAUAUAUGCAGACAUAUAAUUGAUGUACUUUGCUGUAGGCCUUAAAUUAACACAACUUUGUAAGUGAACUAUAUGCCAAUAAAAUAAAAUAAAAAUUCUAAAAAGUGUACAACAUGAUUUGAUAUAUAUAUACACAGUGAAGUGAUUACUAUGGUCAAGCUCGUUAACAUAGCAUAUCCUACUUUUUUGUGUGUAAUAAGAACACUUGAAAUCUACUUUCUCAGAAAAUUUCCAGUAUUUCAUCCAGUGUUAUGAACUGUAGUCACAACACUAUACUUUUGAUGUCUAGACCCACCCAUCCUACAUAACUGCAACUUUGUACCCUCUGACCAACAUCUUUGCCCCACACUCCCACCCCUGCUCACUACUGUUCUACUCUCUGUGUCUAUGUAUUUAACUUUUCUAGGUUCCACAUAUAAGUGAGGUUGUGCAUUUUGUUUUCUUUCUGUGUCUGGCUUAUUUGACUUGGCAUAAUGUCCUCCACAUCCACUUAUGUUGCAGAUGGCAGGAGCUCAUUCUGUUCUGAGUCUAAAUAAUAUUAUAUAUCCUCCCAUAUAUUAUAUAAUAUUACUUAAAUCUAUAGCAAUCUUCUUUUUUUCUUCCAGCUUUAUUGAGAUAUAAUUGACCUUCAACAUUAUAUAAGAUUAAGGUGUGGGUGUACAAUGUGUUGAUUCGAUCCAUUCAUCCAUUGAUGAAUGCUUGGGUGGUGUCCAUAGUUUAGCUAUUGGGAAUUGCUGCAAUGAAGAGGGGAGUGAAGUUAUCUCUUCAAGGUACUGAUUUCACUUUCUUCAGAUAUAAGUCCAGAGGUGGGAUUGCUGGAUCACAUAGUUAUUCUAUUUUCAGUUUUUCGAGCAGCCUCCAUACUCUUUCCAUAGUGACUGCACCAAUUUAUAUUCCCCCUGGCAGUAUGCAAGGGUUCCCCUUCCUCCACAUCCUGGUCAAUUCUUGCUAUCUUUUAUAUCGCUGUUUUCAUAAUAACCAUAACAACAGGUGUGAGGUGAUGUUUCAUUUUAGUUUACAUUUCCCAGAUAAUUAGUGAUGUUGAGCAUCUUUCUAUAUACCUGUUGGCCAUUUGUAUGUCUUCUUUGGGAAAAA
This 5957-nucleotide long non-coding RNA is filed under the name Sus scrofa (pig). RNAcentral's name for it is "lncRNA (ENSSSCG00065014120.1)". Lineage: Eukaryota; Metazoa; Chordata; Mammalia; Artiodactyla; Suidae. The record is from RNAcentral.